Molecule: ribosomal RNA, 533 nt
Filed under: Staphylococcus aureus
Lineage: Bacteria; Bacillati; Bacillota; Bacilli; Caryophanales; Staphylococcaceae
Description: partial 23S ribosomal RNA
Rfam family: Bacterial large subunit ribosomal RNA
Source: RNAcentral
GGACCAUCUCCUAAGGCUAAAUACUCUCUAGUGACCGAUAGUGAACCAGUACCGUGAGGGAAAGGUGAAAAGCACCCCGGAAGGGGAGUGAAAUAGAACCUGAAACCGUGUGCUUACAAGUAGUCAGAGCCCGUUAAUGGGUGAUGGCGUGCCUUUUGUAGAAUGAACCGGCGAGUUACGAUUUGAUGCAAGGUUAAGCAGUAAAUGUGGAGCCGUAGCGAAAGCGAGUCUGAAUAGGGCGUUUAGUAUUUGGUCGUAGACCCGAAACCAGGUGAUCUACCCUUGGUCAGGUUGAAGUUCAGGUAACACUGAAUGGAGGACCGAACCGACUUACGUUGAAAAGUGAGCGGAUGAACUGAGGGUAGCGGAGAAAUUCCAAUCGAACCUGGAGAUAGCUGGUUCUCUCCGAAAUAGCUUUAGGGCUAGCCUCAAGUGAUGAUUAUUGGAGGUAGAGCACUGUUUGGACGAGGGGCCCCUCUCGGGUUACCGAAUUCAGACAAACUCCGAAUGCCAAUUAAUUUAACUUGGGAGUC